Molecule: transfer RNA, 82 nt
Filed under: Euryarchaeota archaeon RBG_19FT_COMBO_69_17
Lineage: Archaea; Methanobacteriati; Methanobacteriota
Description: tRNA-Lys
Source: RNAcentral
GCGGGCCUGUAGCUUAGCUAGGUAGAGCGAUCGGCUCUUAACCGAUAGGUCAAGGGUUCGAAAGGGCCUCGCGACACCCGCG